UUGGCUGGGAAAGGACAGUACUGGAUCAAAAGAUAGCCUUCCGCCUAUUGGCCCGGAGUUGCUAGGGCUGAGAGCAAAAGUGUAGCCAUUGGCUGGAGGCCAUAGCAGGAAUCUCUACAUUCUCUUUUCCUAGAAGUGCGUGGGGGCUCACGCUUAGAAAUGGUGCAGUGGCGUACGCGCAGUGGCUAGUCUUCUCUCGAAUAAGUAAAACCAUCCUAUCUGGGAACCUUGCUGAUGUGGGAGGCAGUAGAGAAUUGGGCAUAAUAAUGGAACAUUCCUGAAGUUUGGCAGGAAUGCUUUUAAAUAACACUGGAAGAUGUCAUUUAGUGCCCUUUGACCCAGGCACUCACCUCUAAUUCCGUGGCUAAGCAGAAAAUGUGUAAACGAAAGGAGCAGCAAGAGCCAACCCUAGAUGUCCUGCAGCAGUGGAAACCAAGUUACUGAUUCAGACCACCAGAUGGCAGACCACAGGAAAAGGAAAAAGGAGAGGAAGAAAUGUCACCUACCAAGACCCAGCUCCAGGAUGACCCAGAGAUCUUAGAAAACUUGGUUUCCUAUUAGUAUUGAGGAGGUCAGGGGUCAGGGAAGAUUACUCAGAGGCAUUGUUUUAAACUAUAGUAAUGUACUUAAUUAUCUGAUAGUAACAUGGUUUAUUAUUGUGAUACAUUUUAUUAUCAGAUAAAACAUCUUUUGUUUUCUUUUUUUCUCUGUAAAUGUUAUUCUCAUUCUUAAGGCCUCCAAGAAUAAUGUCAUAAUUGGAAUUGCAUCAAACCUAUAAGUUAAUUUGGAAAAAAAAUCAAGAUCUUUAUGAUACUUAUUUUUCUCAUGAAAGAAUGUGUUUUUGUCACUAUUGAGGUCUCCAUUUAUAUAUCUUAGUAAGGAUUGCAGUUUUCCUUAUAAAGAUCAUGCAUAUCACUCAUUCAGAAUUUUACUUGGGGAGAUAUUUUAUAUAUAUUCUAACUGGAUUUUGGUGAUUUUACAGAAAUAUACUGAUUUUUGCAGAUUAAAUGUUUAAUUUCUGUAUUCUUUUAUUAAAAAUAGCUAUGAGUUAGUUAUUCCUAAUUUUCUUGCUAUACAAUUAUGUAACCUGAAAAAUAUCAUAAAAUUCUUGUAUUUUCCUUUCCACCAUUUAUUUCUGUUAUUUCUAUUUCAUGCUUCAUUAUAUUGGCUGAAAAUGACAUAAAAAUAUAAAAAAUUUAAUAGUAAUGAUAAUAUAGCUUUACUAUGUGUAAUUGAGUUUUUAUUCAGAAUAGAUACUUGUGUUUAUUUUAAUUUUAUACAAUAAUGUAUUUUUAUUAAGAGUAUAAAUGAGUGUUGGAGUGCCUGAUUUCGGCUCAAGUUAUGAUCUCACGUUUGUGAGAUUGAGCCCCGCAUUGGGCUCCACACUGGGUGUGAAGCCUACUUAAGAUCCUCUCUCUCCCUCUUCCUCUGCCCUUUCUCCCACUCAUGCUUUUUCUCUCUCAAAAAUAGAAUUAAUAAUAAUAAUAAUAAUAAUAAUAAAAGACUAUAAAUGGGUGUUGAUUUCAUCCAGUGGCUUUUCAGCAUCUACUGAGAGGAUCAUAUGAUUUCUUUUAUUGAAUCAAUUUAUGUAGUUAUUUUAUUAAUGUUUCCUUAUAUUGUCAGUUUUUACGUCUAAUAUUCAUAAGUAGGUUUUGUCUGUAAAUGUUUGGUGUGUCAUACCUUUAUUGGAUUAUAGUGUUAGACCUAUAUUUAGCUCAUAAAAGAAUGGGAUAACAUCCAAUCAUUUUCUGUGUUUUAUGUUACAGAAUAAAUAUAUGAUUUUUAUCUGUUUUAUUAUUACUAUUUUCCUAAGGCAGUUAUGGAAACAAAGCUAUUUUUAAAUUUUAAAAAUGAAAAUAAAGAAAUGCUUAUAUUACAGUAGAGACACUUUUACAACUGAGAACCUGAAAGAGCUAUAACAAAGGUUAUUUUCCCCACCCCAGCAUGUUAAGGAAAUGCCUGCCAAACCCAUUAUAAAAGAUUAUCUCUGUCUGAGUGUGCUAUGGGUUAUACUAUUACAUAAAGCAGACAAAAUCCUUUAUUUUUCUCAGCUGUUCUGCUCAGUCAUGGAAAGAAUAAAAUUAUACCUAGUGAUUCAGCAUCUGAAAUGUUAUACCAAGUCAAAAGUUGCUGCCUAUAUAGUUUUCACAAGAAGCUAUUGCAUUUCUUAGGUUCUGGUAGGUAAUAAUAAUAAUAUUCCAAGGAAGUCUUUCUUGGUUGAGGGUGGAAAGCAAUAAAGAAUUUGACUCAAAUUUUAUCUGGUUGUAUAACCUGUCUCUGUAAGUAAGUCAUGGCUUGGAUAAUAAAAAAGUAGUUGUGGUAAACUUCCAGAUGAGUAAUAUUGAUAAAGCUUCAUUACGACUCUUCUCAUCAUGGAUCACAACAUUGUUUGACAGAACUUUCUGGCAUGAUGGAAGUGUUCUAUUUCUGUGUGUGCAAUGUAGCUAUGUGUCCACUGUGGCUCUGAGGACUUGAAAUGUGGCCAGUGCUGAUGAGAAACUGAAUUUUUAUUUUUAUUUAAUUGUAAUUAAUUUAAAUUGAAGUAGCCGCAUGUGGCUAGUGGCUACCAUAAUGGACAAUGCCGCUUCAAAAUAUGAAAUGUAAUCAGUAUGGAUACAUUAAGAACCCAAAAUGUUUUCACCACAUUUCCUUAUUACGCAUAAAUAAAUUUCACUUGCCAAUAUUUUGACAAUUCAAAAUCAAUAUCAGUCUCUGCAUUUAUGCUUGCAUUUUAAAAACUUACUUUAAUACUUUUCUCCUAUCUGAGACAUCUUUGCCAUUCUGAGAAGUAUCUGUUUUUCCUUUCACUCGCAUUUUGCUAUUGUUGCUGUCUUUUGUCUACAUGCUUUUAGCUCUGCCAUUAGGUGUCUUUGUAAUUUCACAUCCAAACCUUGUGAAUUUUUGUUAGUUUCUUUAAAUAAAGCGAUUUGGUUCAAAUACUGACAUGAACAAGGAUAUGACAUGUAUAAUGAUGGAUAAUUAUAUCAAUAAACUGGACAUGGGUAAAAAAAUAAUCAAGAAGAGUUGGCAAAAAAAAAAAUUUAAUGAGAACUUAAGAAUAGAAUUGGCACUUUAGUAU
Long non-coding RNA from Acinonyx jubatus (cheetah), 3079 nucleotides. RefSeq lists it as uncharacterized. The transcript is spliced from 3 exons. Lineage: Eukaryota; Metazoa; Chordata; Mammalia; Carnivora; Felidae. The record is from RefSeq and is a predicted model, not a curated record.